RNAcentral lists this ribosomal RNA (238 nucleotides) under uncultured bacterium. Its description in RNAcentral is "partial 16S ribosomal RNA". It matches the Rfam family "Bacterial small subunit ribosomal RNA", at positions 92 to 339 of the family's 1533-position model. The record is from RNAcentral.
AUAGUGGCGGACGGGUGAGUAACGCGUAAGAACCUACCCUUAGGAGGGGGACAACAGCUGGAAACGGCUGCUAAUACCCCAUAAGCUGAGGAGUAAAACAUACCUAAAAGGUAUGGCCUAGGGAGGGGCUUGCGUCUGAUUAGCUAGUUGGUGGGGUAAGAGCCUACCAAGGCGACGAUCAGUAGCUGGUUUGAGAGGAUGAUCAGCCACACUGGGACUGAGACACGGCCCAGACUCC